This 551-nucleotide ribosomal RNA is filed under the name uncultured fungus. Its description in RNAcentral is "SSU rRNA". It matches the Rfam family "Eukaryotic small subunit ribosomal RNA", at positions 20 to 575 of the family's 1831-position model. The record is from RNAcentral. Lineage: Eukaryota; Fungi.
GUAGUCAUAUGCUUGUCUCAAAGAUUAAGCCAUGCAUGUCUAAGUAUAAGCAAUUAUACCGCGAAACUGCGAAUGGCUCAUUAAAUCAGUUAUCGUUUAUUUGAUAGUACCUUACUACAUGGAUAACCGUGGUAAUUCUAGAGCUAAUACAUGCUAAAAAUCCCGACUUCGGAAGGGAUGUAUUUAUUAGAUUAAAAACCAAUGCCCUUCGGGGCUCUCUGGUGAUUCAUAAUAACUUCUCGAAUCGCACGGCCUUGCGCCGGCGAUGGUUCAUUCAAAUUUCUGCCCUAUCAACUUUCGACGGCUGGGUCUUGGCCAGCCGUGGUGACAACGGGUAACGGAGGGUUAGGGGUGGACCCCGGAUAAGGAGCCUGANAAACGGCUACUACAUCCAAGGAAGGCAGCAGGCGCGCAAAUUACCCAAUCCCGACACGGGGAGGUAGUGACAAUAAAUACUGAUACAGGGCUCUUUCNGGUCUUGUAAUUGGAAUGAGUACAAUUUAAAUCCCUUAACGAGGAACAAUUGGAGGGCAAGUCUGGUGCCAGCAGCC